Molecule: ribosomal RNA, 534 nt
Filed under: uncultured bacterium
Lineage: Bacteria
Description: bacterial SSU rRNA
Rfam family: Bacterial small subunit ribosomal RNA
Source: RNAcentral
CGGCCUUGACAUACUAAGAACUUUCCAGAGAUGGAUUGGUGCCUUCGGGAACUUAGAUACAGGUGCUGCAUGGCUGUCGUCAGCUCGUGUCGUGAGAUGUUGGGUUAAGUCCCGCAACGAGCGCAACCCUUUUCCUUAUUUGCCAGCGGGUCAUGCCGGGAACUUUAAGGAUACUGCCAGUGACAAACUGGAGGAAGGCGGGGACGACGUCAAGUCAUCAUGGCCCUUACGGCCAGGGCUACACACGUGCUACAAUGGUCGGUACAAAGGGUUGCUACCUCGCGAGAGGAUGCUAAUCUCAAAAAGCCGAUCGUAGUCCGGAUCGCAGUCUGCAACUCGACUGCGUGAAGUCGGAAUCGCUAGUAAUCGCGGAUCAGAAUGCCGCGGUGAAUACGUUCCCGGGCCCUGUACACACCGCCCGUCACACCAUGGGAGUUUGUUGCACCAGAAGUAGGUAGUCUAACCGCAAGGAGGACGCUUACCACGGUGUGGCCGAUGACUGGGGUGAAGUCGUAACAAGGUAAGCGUAGAUGA